UACGUAGGGGGCAAGCGUUAUCCGGAUUUACUGGGUGUAAAGGGAGCGUAGACGGCGAAGAAAGUCUGAAGUGAAAGCCCGCGGCUCAACCGCGGAAUGGCUUUGGAAACUUUUUUGCUGGAGUACCGGAGAGGUAAGCGGAAUUCCUAGUGUAGCGGUGAAAUGCGUAGAUAUUAGGAGGAACACCAGUGGCGAAGGCGGCCUGCUGGACGGUGACUGACGCUGAGGCUCGAAAGCAUGGGUAGCGAACAGG
Molecule: ribosomal RNA, 253 nt
Filed under: uncultured Eubacteriales bacterium
Lineage: Bacteria; Bacillati; Bacillota; Clostridia; Eubacteriales
Description: uncultured Clostridiales bacterium partial 16S ribosomal RNA
Rfam family: Bacterial small subunit ribosomal RNA
Source: RNAcentral